This 77-nucleotide transfer RNA is filed under the name Halanaerobium salsuginis. Its description in RNAcentral is "tRNA_Pro_GGG". It matches the Rfam family "tRNA". From Rfam's summary of the family: Transfer RNA (tRNA) molecules are approximately 80 nucleotides in length. Their secondary structure includes four short double-helical elements and three loops (D, anti-codon, and T loops). Lineage: Bacteria; Bacillati; Bacillota; Clostridia; Halanaerobiales; Halanaerobiaceae. The record is from RNAcentral.
CGGGCUAUGGCGCAGUUUGGUAGCGCGCUACACUGGGGGUGUAGAGGUCUUCGGUUCAAAUCCGGAUAGCCCGACCA